GAUGAACGCUGGCGGCAUGCCUAACACAUGCAAGUCGAGCGAACGGACGGGAGGCUUGCUGCCGGGAUGUUAGCGGCGGGCGGGUGAGUCAUCUGUACAUAACCUACCUAUGAGACUGGGAUAACUACGGGAAACCGGAUCUAACACCGGAUAUUAUUUUGAACGGCUUGGUCCAAAAGUGCUCGACGUUUUUGCGGUGACUUAUAGAUGGAACCGCGCUGCAUUAGCUAGUUGUUAGGGUAACGGCUUACCAAGGCGACGAUGCAUAGCCGACCUGAGAGGAUGAUCGGCCACACGGUGACUGAGACACGGCCCAGACUCCUACGGGAGGCAGCAGUGGGGAAUCUUGCGCAAUGGGGGAAAGCCUGAUCGAGCAAUGCCGCGUGAGUGAAGAAGGACUUCGGAUCGUAAAACGCUGUUGUUAGGGAAGAACUUAUGUGGAAUAAUCUGCGGAGAUGAUGACGGUACCUGAAGAAAAAGCCCCGGCUAACUACGUG
RNAcentral lists this ribosomal RNA (497 nucleotides) under uncultured bacterium. RNAcentral describes it as "partial 16S ribosomal RNA". It matches the Rfam family "Bacterial small subunit ribosomal RNA", at positions 28 to 507 of the family's 1533-position model. The record is from RNAcentral.